This 301-nucleotide ribosomal RNA is filed under the name uncultured soil bacterium. Its description in RNAcentral is "bacterial SSU rRNA". It matches the Rfam family "Bacterial small subunit ribosomal RNA", at positions 26 to 330 of the family's 1533-position model. The record is from RNAcentral.
AGAUUGAACGCUGGCGGCAUGCUUUACACAUGCAAGUCGAACGGUAACAGGCCGCAAGGUGCUGACGAGUGGCGAACGGGUGAGUAAUGCAUCGGAACGUGCCCAGUCGUGGGGGAUAACGCAGCGAAAGCUGUGCUAAUACCGCAUACGAUCUAUGGAUGAAAGCGGGGGACCGAAAGGCCUCGCGCGAUUCGGAGCGGCCGAUGUCAGAUUAGCUAGUUGGUGGGGUAAAGGCCCACCAAGGCGACGAUCUGUAGCUGGUCUGAGAGGACGACCAGCCACACUGGAACUGAGACACGGU